Molecule: ribosomal RNA, 1482 nt
Filed under: groundwater metagenome
Description: bacterial SSU rRNA
Rfam family: Archaeal small subunit ribosomal RNA
Source: RNAcentral
CCAGCUGAUCCUGCUGGCGGAUACUGCUAUCGAAAUCCGAUUUAGCCAUGCAAGUCUAAGAGACCGAGUGUCGGUUUCUGGCGAACGGCUCAGUAACACGUAGUCAACCUGCCCUUUGGAACGGCCAAACCCGGGAAACUGGGACUAAUACCGUAUGGUCAACUCACACUGGAAUGUGGAGUUGGCGAAAUGCGCGCGCGGAUUGCAGUGCGUAGCGCCAAAGGAUGGGACUGCGGCAGAUUAGGUAGUUGGCGGGGUAACGGCCCACCAAGCCGACGAUCUGUACGGGCAUUGAGAGAUGGAGCCCGGAGAAGGGCACUGAGAUAAGGGCCCUAGCCCUACGGGGUGCAGCAGUCGCGAAACCUUUACAAUGCGCGAAAGCGUGAUAAGGGGAUUUCGAGUGGUCUCUUCUGAGACCUUUUGCCAAGUUUAAAACGCUUGGCGAAUAAGUGGAGGGUAAGAUACGUGCCAGCCGCCGCGGUAAUACGUACUCCACAAGUGGUGUCCACUCAUAUUGGGCCUAAAGCGUCUGUAGCCGGUUGGGUAAGUCUUUGGUGAAAUCGGCGCGCUUAACGUGUCGACGUGCCAAAGAUACUGCUCGGCUUGGGAUCGGGAGAGGUCAAUGGAAUUUCGGGGGUAGCGGUGAAAUGUUAUGAUCCUCGAAGGACCACCAGUAGCGAAGGCGAUUGACCAGAACGAAUCCGACGGUGAGAGACGAAAGCUGGGGGAGCGACCCGGAUUAGAUACCCGGUUAGUCCCAGCCGUAAACGAUGCAGACUAGGUGUCCUGCAACCCACGUGGUUUCGGGGUGCCGACGCGAAGGCAUUAAGUCUGCCGCCUGGGAAGUACGCUCGCAAGAGUGAAACUUAAUGGAAUUGGCGGGAGCUCACUACAAGGGGUGGAUGCUGCGGUUUAAUUGGAUACAACGCCAGAUAACUCACCAGGGGCGACAGCAGUAUGAUGGACAGUCUAAAGGGCUUUCCUGACGCGCUGAGAGGUGUUGUAUGGUCAUCGUCAGCUCGUACUAUAAAGCGUCCUGUUAACUCAGGCAACGGGCGAGACCCACAUUCUUAGUUGCGACUCUUCAAUUUAUUGGAGGGGCACUCUAGGAAAACUGCGGUGGUAACACUGAGGAAGGAGUGGGCAACGGUAGAUCUGUAUGGCCCGAAUCUCCUGGGCAACACGCGGCAUACAAUGGUUGAUACAAUGAGAUCCUAGCCCGAAAGGGUACGGUAAUCCCCUAACAUCAAUCGUAGUGCGGAUUGAGGUCUGUAACUCGGCCUCAUGAAGAUGGAAUCCCCAGUAAUCGCGUGUCAUAAUCGCGCGGUGAAUACGUCCCUGAGCUUUGCACACACCGCCCAUCAAGCCAUUCGAUUAGAGUCCUGAUGAGUCCUGUCUUGCGUUCGCGCAGGGCUGGUCGAUUCAGGGCUUUGAGAGACGGGCUAAGUUGUAACAAGGUGUCCGUAGGGGAACCUGCGGACG